CACGUAGGGCGCAAGCGUUGUCCGGAAUUAUUGGGCGUAAAGAGCUCGUAGGCGGUCUGUUGCGUCCGCUGUGAAAACUCGGGGCUUAACCCCGAGCCUGCAGUGGAUACGGGCAGACUAGAGGUAGGUAGGGGAGAAUGGAAUUCCCGGUGUAGCGGUGAAAUGCGCAGAUAUCGGGAGGAACACCGGUGGCGAAGGCGGCGCUCUGGGCCGGUACUGACACUGAGGAGCGAAAGCGUGGGUAGCAAACAGG
This 253-nucleotide ribosomal RNA is filed under the name uncultured bacterium. Its description in RNAcentral is "partial 16S ribosomal RNA". It matches the Rfam family "Bacterial small subunit ribosomal RNA", at positions 524 to 776 of the family's 1533-position model. The record is from RNAcentral.